AAUUCGAUUCUGGUGGAUGAACGCCGGCAGGAUGCACACAUGCAGUGAACGGCAGCACACGGACUUCGGUCUGGUGGCGAGUGGCGAACGGGUGAGUAAUGUAUCGGAACGUGCCUAGUAGCGGGGAUAACUGCAGCGGCUAAUACCGCAUACGCCCUUCGGGGAAAGCGGGGGACCUUCGGGCCUCGCACUAUUAAACUGACCGAUAUCCGGAUUAGCUAUCAGUUGGUGGUAACGCUCUGGGCGACGAUCGUAGCUGGUUUGAAGGACUGACCAGCCACACUGGGACUGAGACACAUGAACUCCUGCGGGGAGGGCAGCGGUGAAAAUUUUGGACAGCCGAAACCUGAUCCAGCCACAUCCCGCGUGCGAUGAAGGCCUUCGGGUUGUAAAGCACUUUUGUAGGAAAGAAACGGCACGGGAUAAUACCCCGUGCAACUGACGUACCUGCAGAAUAAGCACCGACUAACUACGAUGCCAGCAACCGCGGUAAUACGUAAGUGCAGAAAAUUAUCCGGAAUUACUGGGCGUAAAGCGUGCGAGCGGUUCGGGGGAAAGAAAGAUGUGAAAUCCCAGAGCUUAACUUUGGAACUGCAUUUUUAACUACCGAGCUAGAGUGUCAGAGGGAGGUGGAAUUCCGCGUGCAACGGUGAAAUGCAUGAAUAUGCGGAGGAACACCGAUAGCGAAGGCAACCUCCCUGGAGGAUAACACUGACGCUCAUGCACGAAAGCGUGGGGGAACAAGAAGCAAGGAUUAGAUACCCUGUUAGUCCACGCCCUAAACGAUGUCAACUAGCUGUUUGGGGCCUUCGGGUGUUGGCUGGCCAACACGCGCGUGAAAGUUGACCGCCUGCAGAGAUACAGUCGCAGAUUAAGAAACUCAAAGGAAUUGACGGGGACCCGCACAAGCGGUGGAUGAUGUGGAUUAAUUCGAUGCAACGCGAAAAACCUUACCUACCCUUGACAUGUCUGGAAUCCCGAAGAGAUUUGGGAGGUGCUCGCAAGAGAACGGAACACAGGUGCUAUGGCUGUCGUCAGCUCAGUGAUAGUGGGAUGUUGGAGGUUAAGUCCGUAACGAGCGCAACCCUUGUCAUUCAGAUUCUUCCGAAAGGGCACUCUAAUGAGACUGCAAGUGACAAACCAGGAGGGAAGAUUGGGGAUGACGUCAAGUCCUCAUGGCCCACUAUGGGUAGGGCUUCACACGUCUAUAUAAUGGGUCGGGGACAGAGGGUCGCCAACCCGCGAGGGGGAGCCAAUCCCAGAAGCGAUCGUAAGUCCGGAUGCAGUCACCCAGCUCGACUGCGUGAAGUCGAAUCGCUGGCUUGUCGCGGAUCAGCAUGCUCGCGGUGAACCGUUCCGGUCUUGUACACACCGCCCGUCACCAUGGGAGUGGGAUUUUACCAGAAAGUAGUUAGCCUAACCAUGGGAGGCGAUUACCACGGUAGGAUUCAUGACUGGGGUGAAGUCGUAACAAGGUAG
RNAcentral lists this ribosomal RNA (1479 nucleotides) under uncultured Bordetella sp. RNAcentral describes it as "partial 16S-23S ribosomal RNA intergenic spacer". It matches the Rfam family "Bacterial small subunit ribosomal RNA". Lineage: Bacteria; Pseudomonadati; Pseudomonadota; Betaproteobacteria; Burkholderiales; Alcaligenaceae. The record is from RNAcentral.